Molecule: ribosomal RNA, 1497 nt
Filed under: uncultured bacterium
Lineage: Bacteria
Description: 16S ribosomal RNA
Rfam family: Bacterial small subunit ribosomal RNA
Source: RNAcentral
GUUUGAUCAUGGCUCAGGAUGAACGCUGGCGGCAUGCCUAAUACAUGCAAGUCGAACGGAGUGAAGCCUUCGGGUUUCAUUCAGUGGCGAACGGGUGAGUAAUACGCAGGGAACCUGGCCAUGGCAGGGGGAUACACUCUGGAAACGGAGCAUAAGACCCCAUAGGCAGUAAGGCGGCAUCGCCUUACUGUUAAAGAAAGCUGAAAGGCUUUGGCGAUGGAUGGACCUGCGGUGCAUUAGCUUGUUGGUGAGGCAACGGCUUACCAAGGCGAUGAUGCAUAGCCGGCCUGAGAGGGCGGACGGCCACACUGGGACUGAGACACGGCCCAGACUCCUGCGGGAGGCAGCAGUAGGGAAUUUUCGUCAAUGGGCGCAAGCCUGGACGAGCAAUGCCGCGUGAGUGAGGAAGGUCUUCGGACUGUAAAGCUCUGUUGCCGGGGAAAAAGGGGAAAUGCAGGAAAUGGCAUUUCAUGGAUGGUACCCGGCCAGAAAGCCACGGCUAACUACGUGCCAGCAGCCGCGGUAAUACGUAGGUGGCGAGCGUUAUCCGGAAUGAUUGGGCGUAAAGGGUGCGCAGGCGGUCUGUUAAGUCUGAAGGCAAAGGGAUGAGCUCAACUCAUUUAUGAUUCAGAAACUGGCAGACUUGAGGACAGGAGAGGGCGGUGGAACUCCAUGUGUAGCGGUAAAAUGCGCAGAGAUAUGGAAGAACACCAGUGGCGAAGGCGGCCGCCUGGCCUGUGACUGACGCUGAGGCACGAAAGCGUGGGGAGCAAAUAGGAUUAGAUACCCUAGUAGUCCACGCCGUAAACGAUGAGGAGCAGGUGUUGGGAGUGAAAUCUCAGUGCCGAAGCCAACGCAGUGACUCCUCCGCCUGGGGAGUAUGCACGCAAGUGUGAAACUCAAAGGAAUUGACGGGGGCCCGCACAAGCGGUGGAGUAUGUGGUUUAAUUCGAAGCAACGCGAAGAACCUUACCAGGUUUUGACAUCGGAUGCGAAGGCGCAGAGAUGCGCUGGAGGCUAUCAUCCAGACAGGUGGUGCAUGGUUGUCGUCAGCUCGUGUCGUGAGAUGUUCAGUUAAGUCUGGCAACGAGCGCAACCCCCGUGGUAUGUUACUAACGCAUUUGGGCGAGGACUCAUAUCAGACUGCCGGUGACAAACCGGAGGAAGGCGGGGAUGACGUCAAAUCAUCAUGCCCCUUAUGACCUGGGCUACACACGUACUACAAUGGCGUCUACAGAGGGAAGCGACCCUGAGAAGGGAAGCGAAACCGGAAAAGGGCGUCCCAGUUCGGAUUGAAGUCUGCAACCCGACUUCAUGAAGAUGGAAUCGCUAGUAAUCGCGGAUCAGCAUGCCGCGGUGAAUACGUUCCCGGGCCUUGUACACACCGCCCGUCAAACCAUGGAAGCCGGCAACGCCCGAAGCCGGUGGCAUAACCUUUUAGGAGUGAGCCGUCGAAGGCGGGGCCGAUGACUGGGGUUAAGUCGUAACAAGGUAACC